UCCCUGGUGGCUGAGAGGUUAAAGCGUCUGCCUGCAAUGCAGGAGACCCAGGUUCGAUCCCUGGAUCAGGAA
Molecule: non-coding RNA, 72 nt
Organism: Capra hircus (goat)
Lineage: Eukaryota; Metazoa; Chordata; Mammalia; Artiodactyla; Bovidae
Source: the annotation of a RefSeq genome assembly